AUUUGGCUGUUUUCUCCUGACAUUUACUCUUUUUUCUAAAACAAAAUGAUACACUUUGAAUUCUCCAAAUUCUUAAACAAAUCAAAUGGAACAGAGAAAACCAGAAUCAAACUUAGGGAUCGUUUCUUAUUUUAAGUAAAGUGAUGAUUCUUCUUCUUCAACCCUUUUUGAUGGACUUGUUUCCUUUACUUUGUUUAUCACGUCUUCCUUCUCCUUCAUCUUCCCCCUUUCACUACUCUUUACUCUUUCCCUCUCAAUUAGGGUUCGGGAUAGGGUUUAAUCUGUAAAGGGCCAAAUGGAUUUCAACGAAUUAGAAGCAAUAGAAGGAUUAAGAUGGUCUUGGAAUUCAUGGCCAGCAUCAAAAUCAGAAGUAUCAGCACUGGUAAUUCCUUUAAGUAUAUUAUAUACUCCACUGAUGAAAUAUACUGAUCUCCCUUUACUUUCUUAUGAUCCAUUAAUUUGUAAUCGAUGCGGUGCUGUAUUAAAUCCUUAUGCUCGUGUUGAUUAUCAAUCUAGAAUUUGGGUUUGUCCGUUUUGUUAUCAGAGAAAUCCAUUUCCUAUAGGUUAUGCUGGAAUUGGUGAAAAUAAUAUACCUGCUGAACUUUUCCCUACUUAUACUACUGUUGAAUACCAACAACAAGGAAGAAAAACCUCAAAUGUGAGUUCAGUUGUUAAUUCGAGUCCGAGUUGGGGCAGAACAAAUUCGUUCCAAUCUGUAGUUUCUUCUCCAAUGACGUCUACUUUUUCUUCUUCCUCUUCGUUGAAUUGUUUGGAUGUAAAGGGAAAUGGUCCUGGGAUUGUGUUUGCCGUUGAUACUUGUUCACCUGAAGAUGAAUUACAAGCACUUAAAAAUGAAUUAUUACUUGUUAUUGCACAAUUACCGGAGAACACGCUUGUUGGGUUGGUGACAUUUGGUUCGAUGGUGGCUGUUCAUGACUUGGGGUUUAUGGAGUGUUCUAAGGUUGUUCUUUUCCACGGUGAACGUGCACUCUCGUCGGAUCAGGUCCAGGAGUUUUUGGGUAUUUGUCGGCCAAAGCACCACAUACAUGGGAAGACAUCAGUUAUGCAUAAGCAGGGUUUUCUACUUCCAAUAUCUGAGUGUGAAUUUAACAUUACAACCGCAACCGAAGAGAUUCGAUCAUCAUUUCAGUCCGUGUCUGGUCAGCGCCCUCAAAGGUCCACAGGAGUUGCUAUAUCAAUUUCCAUUGGACUUCUAGAAGGAUGCAUCACAAAUACAGGAUCUCGCAUCAUGGUUUUCACAUCUGGUCCUGCAACCAUGGGACCGGGGAUAGUUGUGGAUACGGAUCGAAGUAAAUCCAUUAGGACCCACCGUGAUCUAAUUAGUGGCCAAGCUCCACAUUACGGCAAGUCGUGCAACUUCUACAAGCAAUUGGCAGUGAGAUUAUGUGAAGCGUCCAUUGUUCUUGAUUUGUUUGCUUGUUCUCUAGAUCAGGUUGGUGUGGCCGAGCUUAAAGUGACAAUAGAGAACUCUGGUGGCUUCUUGAUGCUUGGGGAAUCAUUUGAGUCCGACCAGUUCAGAAAAUGUUUAAGGCACAUUUUUGAACAAGACGCUGAUGGCAAUCUAAAGAUGUACUUUGAUGCAACAGUUGAGAUAGUGAUGACAAAGGAGGUACAGAUAUGUGGGGCAUUUGGCCCUUGUGUAUCUCUGAAGAGAAAGAGUAGUUCAGUCAGUGAGAAUGAAAUGGGUCAGGGUGGUACCUGCUGUUGGAAGUUGUGUACACUCACAAAUAAGACAUGUAUAGCUUUCUUAUUUGAAUUGGGUAAUGAACAGAGCAUUCAACCAGGGUCUGCAUUUCUUGUACAGCUCAUUACACGGUAUAGAUAUGGGAGUGGUGGAAUUCGGCAAAGGGUGACAACUGCCGCAAGAAGAUGGGUUGGACCACGUUCCCAGGAAAUUCCUGCUGGAUUUGAUCAAGAAGCCGCUGCAUCUGUCAUGGCCAGACUUGCUAUCCACCGAGCUGAACGGUGUUUUGCGAGAGAUGUCAUCAGAUGGGUAGAUAAUAUGCUGAUCAAGUUUGCUUCUAAAUUUGGUGAUUACGUGCCGGAAGAUCCAUCUUCUUUUCGUCUCGCGCCGAAUUUCUCCCUUUUCCCACAGUUCAUGUAUUAUUUGAGGAGGUCGCAGUUCAUCGACGUUUUUAAUAGCAGUCCUGAUGAGACUGCAUUCUUUCGCUUGAUGCUGAAUCAAGAAGGGGUAGCUGGUUCUCUGAUCAUGAUUCAACCUACCCUUUUUCAGUAUUCAUUCGACGGUCCUCCCGUUCCUGUUCUUCUCGACAUUAGCUCUAUCUCUCCAGAUGUUAUUUUGCUGUUCGAUUCUUACUUUUGUGUGGUGAUUCACUAUGGAUCUAAAAUUGCACAGUGGAAGAAGCUAGGAUAUGAUAAGGAUCCAAAUCAUGAGAGCUUUCGGAAGCUUCUAGAGGCCCCAGAGAUAGAUGCUGAACAACUGGUGGCCGAACGAGUUCCAUUGCCGAAGCUUGUGAAAUGUGAUCAGCACGGUAGCCAAGCAAGAUUUCUGCUAGCUAAGCUAAACCCAUCUAUUACUCAGAAUUCAACUCAUACAGAAGGGUCUGAAAUUAUAUUCACGGAUGAUGUGAGUUUACAAACAUUUAUAGAGCAUUUGCAAGAAUUAGCAGUACAGGGCUAAAGGGUUGUUUGUAUUGUACAAAGGGUUGUUCUUCAAAUUUUUCCAUUCCCUCCGUGAGAUUGCUGUACAAUUAUUUCUGAGAGCGAAGAAGGGCGGAACUAGGUAAUGAUCCUUCAAGAAAUCAGAAGCCUUGUUCACCAAUGCCGGAUCUCUUCCACUUGAUAGUACAAAUUUAUGCCCCUUUCCAUGGUACCUAAACAUUUACCACAAUUGAAAA
This is an RNA transcript of Papaver somniferum (opium poppy), 2879 nucleotides long. It is a transcript of the gene named protein transport protein SEC23-like, with no coding region annotated. The transcript is spliced from 3 exons. Lineage: Eukaryota; Viridiplantae; Streptophyta; Magnoliopsida; Ranunculales; Papaveraceae. The record is from RefSeq and is a predicted model, not a curated record.